AUCGCUUCUCGGCCUUUUGGCUAAGAUCAAGUGUAGAAGUUCAAAUUACUUUCAAAUGCUUCCAAAUUACCCUCUUUCUGAAGAAUAUUAGGAAAACAAUGAGAAAAAUGGUCUUACCUUUCGAACAAUACUGUCUUCCACAUUUGAUUUUUUAUUGCUGCCCUGUU
This is a non-coding RNA of Nomascus leucogenys (northern white-cheeked gibbon), 167 nucleotides long. The record is from Rfam. Lineage: Eukaryota; Metazoa; Chordata; Mammalia; Primates; Hylobatidae.